CUGGCUUCCGAUUGGCUGCCCGCGCGGUCCCGCCAGCCUAUAGGAGCGGCGGCGGCCGUUGCGGCGGGGCUGCUGAGCGCGCUGGCAGCUCCGGGCAGAACAUAGCGGGCGGAGUUGAAGCGACCGCCCGAGUGGCCGCUGGAGGGGUGACUCACCCGUUAUGUGAGGAGAGGUGUGCGCACCACGCACGGCGCUUUUUAGGCAGAACGGGGCAGUGAAAGGAAACAGCCAACUUCUGUAUCAACGGAGAAUACCCACCCAGAAGAUAAGUGCUAUCAUUCUGUCUGAUGCUUGGGAAUAAAUUUGCACAAAGAGAAAUUCAGGCCCUGGUUCAUCAAGCAAAACACUUAAGCGUGUGCUCAAGCUCUUUGCCAUAUUGGAGCUUCAGGCCCGACUGGAAUUUGUGCUCCCUUUCCUGAAGAUGUAUCUAUUUCAUUGGGACACUGUACAGAAAAACCUGCUUUUCCUUGGGUUCCAUGAGGAUUAGGCAUCAGAGAGAUGUGAGUCCAAGUUUACUGAAGAAGAAAAGAGAGCCAUCCGAGUUGGAAGCAGAUGCCAUAGAGAUCCGAUCUAAACUGACUGGGGAAAAGAACAUGAGUGACUUAAUUCACACAGACAAGGGAAUAAAACAUGAAUUAACUAAGACAGUGAAGUCCAACAGUGAUAGCAAAACAAUCCUUCCUCAUGUCCUCAUUUCCCAAGCAGUUUCAUCAUCAAAACGAUGAGUAGUUCUCACAGCUGGGAUCCUGUGCUGCCAUGUGCUGUCACAAACAUGUUUCUCUGAAAGUUUUAAAACAACACUUCAGGCUUGCUUAUCCACUCACGCUAAAUUCCAAUAUGUAGGGGAAGAAAGGUAUUAAAUACAGAACAAAAUUACCAAUGCUAUAAAGUACUCUUUCUCACUGUGCCAAUGUUUUCUUUGACCUUUCUGAUGGUGUUAUGAUGUCACUGCUCUGCAGCUUUGGCCUAUUUUCUGCCUAGCCUACACUGGGCUAGAUUUGAUGGAAAUAAACAUCUUACAUAACA
Molecule: long non-coding RNA, 1026 nt
Filed under: Apteryx owenii (little spotted kiwi)
Lineage: Eukaryota; Metazoa; Chordata; Aves; Apterygiformes; Apterygidae
Description: lncRNA (ENSAOWG00000009754.1)
Source: RNAcentral